RNAcentral lists this unclassified non-coding RNA (214 nucleotides) under uncultured Alnicola. RNAcentral's name for it is "sequence contains ITS2". Lineage: Eukaryota; Fungi; Basidiomycota; Agaricomycetes; Agaricales; Cortinariaceae. The record is from RNAcentral.
AUAUAUCAACCUUAUUAGCUUUUGCUGAUAAUGGAUUGGAUGUGGGGGUUUCUUUUGCCGGCUUCUUCACAGAGGUCAGCUCCCCUUAAAUGCAUUAGCUGGUGCCCCGCGUGGACCAUCUAUUGGUGUGAUAAUUAUCUACGCCGUGGAUGUCUGCAAUCAUAUGGGUUUUGCACUGCUUCUAACCGUCUGUUCAUUCGGACAAUACAUGACA